UUUCGCUGGCCCCCAAUUCUUUCAAGUUUCUGUGCGUCUCCGCCCCCAACCCCUACGAAACCCUAACCCUAGCGACUCCGCCCCAAUCAAAAUCCCCUCAACCCCGCGCUCUUUCCCGCUCGAUCGUCCCCCCUCGCCAGCUUGAGUAGAUCGCCUGCUCGUGAUCGUCGUCUUCUUCUUCUUCUUCUUCUUCUUCUUCUUCAAGCGAUUAGGGUUUUUUUUUUUUUUUUUUUUUUUCUUUUGUUUGAAUGAAACAAAAGAGGAGGAGGAGGACAAGGACGGAGAGGAAGGGGAGACGUAAAGAGGAGGCCAAGUGUUAGUAAAAGGGGGGGAGUAAAUGCGAGGAAGACGUGGAGCAUUUUGAGGAGCGAGCUUGUGACUCUUAUUAGGAAAUGGUUUCGUCAUUUCAGUGGAUUCGGUCCACCACGUGGCCUGUGGACCAGGAGGACACGUGGAGGAUCGCGGGUGGUUUUGGGUUCAUAAGUGUUCAACCAACUUGCGGUCAGUAAGCUAUCGUUUGAUUCGGAAAAAUAAACAAAAAGUGGUUAUUACAGGAAUGGAUAUAAAUUGAGAUAUAAGCGGGGAUUAGAUUAAUUUUGCAUUUGGAUGAAAAUUGAAUUAUUACUGAGAAUAAAAAAAAAUAGCAUUUGGUUAUAUAAGAUGGAAUAAAAAUUAAAAUUGGUAGUUAUAGAUAAAAAAUAAUGAUAUUAUUCCUUUCUUUAUAUUAAAAUUUAAAUUUUUAUAUUUUAUAUUUGUAUUUUAGAAUUUAAAAUCUCAAAUUUACAAUUUUAAAANGGGGGGGCCGCGAUCCGUAGCUGGGCUUCCCUCGUUUUACCAGAGUUUUCAAGGAGGGGUUUGUCUCCGCGGCUAUGUCUCGGUGCUUCCCCUAUCCGCCUCCCAAAUACGACGAGGCUGAGAUCGGAUCCAUUAAGGUUUGUUGAGCAUUAAUGCUGUUGCGAAUCAAUUUCUUGCAUUCUUGCUCGACUCUCCCUUUUGGGUGAUCGCUUAAUGGAUGGACUCUGUGAUCUGUGUGCUUGUUGUAUGUAACCAAGAAAACCCUAAAAAUUUUGAGGAAUACCUGUACAUAUGUUGCAAAAAGAAAAGAAAUUAGAAGAUGUACUUAAAAAGGUGUUUGUUGGAGAUCUGGAGGCUGUUGGUUGUUUCUCCCCCCAUCUUUCAACUACUUUGCUAACUUGCCCCUUAGUAGUAGUUAUUGUUGUUUUUGGAUUGUGGCUGAAAUCCUUAUCUUCUAGAGGUCUUGUUACUGGGCUUGAAUGGUAUUUUUGAUUGCACGGCUGUUGAAGACUGGCCUGCUCAGUAGUGGUUUGCAGAGGUUUCUUUGCAUGUUGAUUUUGCCUGAGAGAAUCUCUGUGGAUUUUGUCGGGCUUGCAUAUCAGAGUAGGUUCAGCGAUGCUCUAGUAGCAAAUAACAUUUUUCUUGGCCUUCCUGACUCUUCCUCUUUCUCUUCACCUUCCUCGGAAGAGCUAGGUAUAUGCCCAAAUGUUGUUUAUAAGCUUAAUUGGGCUAGCUUAGCAUUCUUGUAAUAGCCCAAUUAUGGGUUGGAUGGUAAUUAGGUAUAUUUACUUUGUUUGCUGUCUGCGGAAGUUCGGUUAGUAGAUAGUGCUUUGAAUCCAGGGUAUUUUGGUUAAAUUCUGAUAUCACGGGCUGGGAAAUUGUGUUGGCUCGUGGAACGUGAAUGUCCAAUUGCUGAUUAUUGUAGACGGCCAAUAAAUUUAAGGAUGAUUGAUUAUACCUCAGUAACCAGUUUUUUCUCGCAUCGUUACGGAGGAUCAAGCGACUUUCUUGUUCUGAUGUUAAACAUUUUGUAUUAGACACGUAGGGUGCUUUACAAUGAUUUCAUAGAAAACUCUAUUAUAACUUCGGCUUCUCUUUCCUACUGAUUGAAGAGUAACCAUUGGUGCUGCUGUCAUUUCCAUGUAUUUCAGGAAGCUAAUUUUACAAAAAUAAUAAUUAUUUUACGUUAUUGACACUAACAAGUUUUACUUCGAGAUAAUUUUGGAUGUAAUUCUUGAGACUACAUGACAUGCUCGUCAAAUCAAGAUCUAAAAUUUUCGUCUGGCAUGCGAUAAGUGACCAUUUUCUAUGAAGUUUUUCUGAUAGUGUAUUCUGGUGCGGAUGUUAGCACUUUCCUGUUGUUGGCAUAUAAUUUCUUUUCACCCACCUGCUUGCUGCAUAGGCUAUUAAGGGGUUGUUCAACUUUUCCUGAGGUUUUCAAUCAAUAUAUUUUACUAUAUUGAAUUUUGAUUUUGAUUUUUGAUGUAUAAAAAAUAUUUUGAUUAUUGGUACUUCUCCAUCUGUUUUGUUUUUUGGUUUCUACAUCUAGAAGUAUGGCUCUUUCUCUUUGUUAUUAAACUUGUUUUGAAGUGUGUGGCUUUCUAAUUGUUCAAUGUUAGAUACCUAGAUAUUUGCUUCAUCUGGAUUGCUCGUCAUCGCAAUUUAGGUUAAAAGGAAAAAGAAAAGAAUGCAUGUAUAAAUUGAGAUUGGCUUCCAUCCUUUGGCGACAUUUAGACAUGUGGUUCAGAAGUCUAGUCAUAUUAUUCUGCCAGCAGAUUCCCUUUUUGAUUUUUCUUUUCAUGUCCGUAUGAUGUUUUAGUAUUCCUGCUGCUUUUCAUUGUUAUGUCAGUUGAUCCACUGCUUCUAAAUGUGAGAGAUACAGAGUUGGAAUUUUUUGUGUUCUCUUUCUAGUUCAUUUUAUUUCCUCUUGUUUUACUUGCCUAUUCAAUGUCAGAGGAAAAGGAGCUAAAAGACCAUGCCUUUUCUUAUCAUUGUUUGUUUUGGUUUUCCAAUGCUGCAUUUUUCUACCCUGAAACUUAUCUUUCAUAGUAUUGUUUUGAACAAAUCUAUCUCUUUACCAGUUUGAUCAUUUUCUUCAUGAGAAGAAGUUUGGGCUUCAAAAUAAAGCUAUCUUAUUAUGCAUGGUGAAGCUUUACAUCUUUCUGCUGCUUUUUGUGCUCGUUUUAUUUGUGUGCGUGUGUUUUCUUCACUUGAUUGUUGGUUUCUCCAACAAGCUGCCCAUUGUUGUGAAAUUUUUGGCUUGUAUGUCAUCAGUGGCUCCAGGUGCAUAGAAAUAAUUGAGGACCUCUCUUUAUUUGGAUAUUUCAGUUCCAAGAACUUAACAGGGAGUUGAACUUUCCUUUUAAGUGGUGAAAUCUCCCUUUAUGACCUAGGUUUUACUGGAAUUACUGAUAUUCCUUUUUCCUAGAUCCAGAAUGGUGUCAAACAAUGAGCCUUAUGUAGAGAUUAGUAUGGUAAAAAAUACGGUAUCAUCUCGUGAAGGAUCCUAAUAAAAUUUUGACAUAAUAUCUGUCAUUUAAUUGUUUAAGUUGUUCAGAAUGGUGUUUUACUUUUCCCUUAGUACUGUGGUAGAGUUGAGUCACAUCUUAAUAGAGGAGUUGACGUGUUGAAAGGAUAGUGGUUUCUAAGCAAAGAGUUUACUCUUUUGUUAUACCUCGGAAAGCCGCAUGUUCUCUUUGUACAUUGUGCUAACGACAUUGUCCGAAAAAUGGAUGGUGUGAUUUCAUCCUGCAGUUGUGUGAUGAAUAAUGCUUCAUGCUUGUUAUUUGCUUCCUCCUGUCUAUUCUGAAAGCCGGAAUUGACAAUUGAUUUGGUGGCUCUGAAGCUCCUGAAAGAGCAGGAAAAGGCCAAAGAAAAGAACCGGAGGAAAGAGAAGAAGAGGGAGAAGAAAGAAAAGAAGGCUGCCCUCAAGGAGCUUGAGAACUCUGAACGUUCAAAACAUGAGCUUAAGAAGAGAAAAUAUGAGGAGAGUACAACAAAAACACCAAACAGCUCAGCAGAGCAGCUUGAGAGGAGUGGCCUCACAGAAGAACUUGAGCUGCCAUAUGCCACGCAGGCUGCUGAUAACUCCCCUGAGAGAUCUCAGGACAGUAAUAAGAGGAGAAAGAUCGCUCCAUCGCCUGGCCCUAGCCAAUCAAACAAUAAUGGUAGUUACUCUUGUUUCAUUUAUCUAGUUGUGCUUCUGAAUUUCUUUCCUGUACAUAUUUGUUGACUCUUAUCUUUUAUAAUUUUAUAAUGAAGGGAUUAUUCUACGCAUCAAGCUGCCAACAGCGAAGCAUACACAGAGAGAUACGGAGCCGCCUGCUGCCACCUUCCCCUUGGCGAAUUUGAUGGUUCCUGAGCGGGCGGCUGUACUGAAACAAAGGGAACUGGAGUUGACCAGGCUCCAGCAACAAGGUGGCGAUUUCGAGCCCUGUGUAAGAAGGGAGCAAAGUGAGCAUAAGACGAAUUUCGGGUACCAACAAGAUGACUCGCAACCUGCCUGCAUUCCCCAAUGUAAGGCAAGUGAUCAGGAGCCGCAGCCUGCUUGCAAGGAAGAAGAACCCUGCUUCUCUGGCAGGAGUGGCGAAGCCGCCCCCCUCAAAUCGGAGGAUGGCCGAGCCCAUACCAGGAGGAAGCUCAGUCGAAUUGAGAAGAAGGAAAGACAGUUUAUGGAUUUGAUUAUGAACUGGAACCCCCCUCGGCUGGAGCAGUUUGAAGAUUCAGAUCUUGUUGAUCAGGAGUGGCUAUUUGCGACUUCUGCGAGACCCUCAAAACCCAACCCGCAAAACCAGGACAGAGUUGGUAAAGAGGAAGGCCUUUUGAGUCGUGAGAAUGGCAUGGUCUCGUCGCUGCAGCCGCGGGCAUGCUAUCUGCCUGAACUCGGGAUUUAUCAGUUGCCGUAUGUAAUUCCAUAUUGAAAUCUUCUACUGUUAUACCUUACAUGGAGUUGGGAGAGAAAGAGAGGAGGUUGGGAGGGAAGUUUUGAUAUUUUUUUCUUUUUUUAUAAUUUGUCCGUCUCCCUCUCCGUAAUGUGCGGUGGAAAGAGAUUCGGUGGAAAGAGAUUGGUAUUUGUUGAGUUGGAAAAGCUGUGAAUAUAAUUUCAAUUUAUUUGUCUCCUCCUUCCAAAUUGCGGAUCGUAGGUGGUUUAACUUUCUUCUUAUUUGCCUCUCUUGUUUGCCUGGCUUUACUAUUUGAGCAGCAAAGUUUGGAACACGAUGUAUGCACUUUUCGUUUGUUACGAAUGUGGCCCGUAUUGUAACGCUUUUUCCUUUUCUGCUUGUCUGAUGAUGGAUCGUAACGCUUUCUCCUUUGCUGCUUGUCUGAUGGAUCGAUUUCUUUAGUCCUCACCAUUAAAUUCCAGCGGCAACUGAAUUGGUUGUUGUGAUUAAAUCAUCACUUCGUCCAAAUUUCUCACAGAACCUCUCUCUGCCGACGGCUUUAGUGGGUUAUUUAGGUAAAAAAAAAAACUGAUUGCAAGCCAAAUGUCCUGUGGCCGGUGAAUUAGCCGGAAAGUAUUCGUGGACUGCUAGAAAACUAAUUAGAUUUGUUUGUCCUACGGUUGAGAGUAAAACUCUCUUUAAUUUUCUACUAACUGAGCGGCCAUAUUUCCAUCUAUUUUUAAGCUAAAUCCGACCAAUGGGACUGCACUUUUUGUAUCCGGUGUGACCGUUUGUUCACUGAGGUCGGAGAAUUCCUGGUAUUUCAACUUUGAACCUUUUUUGAUUAAUAGACUUAUAAGAUGUUAUAAUUAUAAUAAAAGUUGUCCUCUGAAAUAAUUAUUUAUAAAUAUUAGAUCCAAAUGGUCGUUUUCUAAAUGCGCUAAAUCGUUCACCACCACUUGAUUCAAAAUAUUAAAAUAUUUAGAAAAAACUUUAAAUAUCACCCCUGUAGUUUCGCACUUUUUUAUUUAAUACCUUAUGAUUUAAAGUGUUUCAAUUUAGUACCCUAUUGUUUCAUUUUUCUCUUUUUAUUAUUCCUUCAACUAAUUUUCUUUCGUUAAAUUAGUGACAAAGUUAAAACUAAAAGGUGCUAAACUAAAUAUUCGAUAAACGUGAGGUAUCUGAAGUUUUGUGUAUAUAAUUAAACAAAAUGUUACCAGAGGAGCUGACGAAAAGAGAAAAAUGAAACCACAUGGUACUAAAUUAAUACACUUUAAACCACAUGAUAUUAAAGGAAGAAAGUGUGAAACCAUAGUAGUGGUAUUUGAAGUUUACCCAAAUAUUUAUGGUACUUAAAGCGAUAAAUUAUAUACUAUUUUUAAAUACGGAAUAAUCCUUUAAAGUUCGGAAUAAGAAAAAUAUAAGUUAUGUAAUGCGGUUAUUGAUUUAUCGCUUUUGGAAAAUAAUGAAUCAUAUUCACUGUUUUCUAAAAGUGAUAAAUUAAUAACCACCUUAGCCAAAUUUUACAAAUAAAAAUUUUGGAUGUCUACAUUUAUAGUUGAAAACUUUGAUAGGCCUAAAGCUUCCAAUUUAGAGUUUAUUAUUAUUAUUAUUAUUACGAUUAUUACUAUUAUCUAUCUAUACAAAGUAUAAUUUAAGAAUUCUUGCAAACAUACGAUUCCGUUGGCUUUUCCAAUUGUCACGCUUCCCUCUUCUCCCCUUCUCUCUCCCCUCUCUCUUUUCCCUUCUCUCUCCCCACUCUCUCAGACUCUUUGGAAGACUUUUAUCUCUUCUCCUACAACCUACAGCUGGCCCCUACUCUCUCUCUUCCUCCCCCAGGUGGCCCUCCCUCUCUCUCUCUAUUAUCUUUCUACCUCUCUCCUCCCUCUCUCUCUCUAUUAUCUUUCUAUCUUUCUCCUCCCUCUCUCUAUUAUCUCUCUCAUUCUCUGUUACCUCCUAUCUCUUUCUCUCUGUUCUAAAUAAUUACCUAUAUUCUACCUCUCUCUCUCUUCAGUUAUUAUUUAUACUUUACCUCUCUCUCUCUCACACGCACAUAUCUUAUGAGAUUUUUUAUAUCUUACAAGAUUCUUAUCUCUUUUUUCUCUUUUUGAAGGCAAUAUUUUUCUCUCUUUCUUUUCUACUUACUCUCUUAUAUCUUGCUUGGUUGGCCGUAAAAUGUGCCGGAAAUUAUUUUUUGGCUUGAAAAAAUCAUGAAGGAAAAUAGUGUCUUCGUACUUGGCCAAUUUUCAGCAGAAAAUGAAAACUCAAUGUGUAAAACUUUUUCAUUUAUUUCUUUCUAGUAACCCAAAUAAAUAUUAAUUUUUUAGUUUAAUCAAACAAAUAUAUAUUGAUGAAAAAUUAUUUUUUUCUUAUAAACUGAACACUAAGAAACGUAAAACUUUUUUUCCACCAAAGUUUUUUUCAAAGAAAACGUAAAACAGAUGUCAGCAAGAUGAGAAAUAAAAAUAAAAAGGAAAAUAGAAAAGGAUAAAGAAGGGAAGCAGGAGCCAAAGAGAGGCGAGCGGCAAUUCCGACGACCGCCAUGGUAGGGUCUAGAACUAGAUGGAGAUGAGGGUACCUAGGUGGUGGGAAAGAGAACUACAGUGGAGUCAGGAAGCUAAGAAGCUUCUGGAUUAGACGACCUCGGGUCUCCCCCUUUUUGUCAAAAAUUGCCAAAACAGAGCAUAUAGAGAGAAAACACACUAGAAAACAUAUUAGAAAAUAUAUAGGAAUUUUUAGAGAGAGAAAGAGAGCAAUUUGAUUUUGGAUUUGGGAGAGAAACAAAUGAAUGAACCGGUUAACCGUUCUUAGAAUUCAAAUUUUUUUUCAAAAAUCCUUCAAAAUUAAAUUAAUUUCAUAAAAAUUCAGGAUUGUACUCCAAAAAUUAUUAUGAUGAAGAUAACAUAUUAUAAGAUUUCAAAAUACAUCAAAAUAUCAAAAUUUUGUUAUCAAAAAUAACCUAAUGAUUUAAAAUCAUCAAGAUGUAACGGUUAAUGAAAAAUGACUUAUAGAAAUUCGGCAAAAUUGACACUAAUUUGUCGCAACUCGUUCAAAAUAGAGAUUUAACUAAUAUGAUACCGGGGGUGGCUCUUUGAGCAUCUCUUUGAGCAUCUUUUCAUCUUAUCACCUUAUAACUCCGAAAAUUCUAAAAUAUUUAUUUUUCCAACCUUUUCGGCUUUUUAAUUAAAUUCCAUGUGGUAGCUUCACACACUUACCGGAAGACCCGGGUGGUAGCUUUUUCCUACAUGUGGUGGUAGUUUUCACACUCCUUUUAGGAUGCAACUUUUUUCACAUCUUUUAAACAUAGGAGUAUCAUUUUCCUUUUUUUUUAAAAUAAUUUCAAACUACCCCUAAAUUAGACAAUCUCACAGUUGAAAGUAAUUUUGACAAAAAUUUAGUCGAUUAGUGAAUAUCUAUCCAUCAUAUCCAACACACACAACCAAGAUGAAUUAAUCACCAAAAGAUCAAAAUGAUUUCAAAAUUUUGUUGAAUAUAUGUAUUAAGAAUUCAUAUAAUAAAUUAUCGUCAAAAUAAUAAAAAGUGAGUAAAAUCGAUAAUUAAUAUGAAUUUAAUUCAAGAUGAAUUCCGGUUAAAACACUUUGAAAAAUUCUAAUCUCCCCCCCAAAAAAAUUUUCAAUCGUCUCCUUCCUCAACGAAAAAUUUUAAAUUCCCAAACGCUUUUCCUCAAAAAACAAAUAAAAUUCAAGAACCAAAAAUCAUCUAAAUAUGUAAUGCAAUGAAUAAAAAUAUGCAACAAGCACCAAUCAAAACAUUUACAUAAAAAAAAUCAAAAACGAACUAAGAUGUAGAACAAGGAAAGAUAUCACCUUUCCGAAUCCAAACUUGUCGGAUUUUGUGUUGUGUUGUCUUGUCGACGUUAGGUGCGGUUUGCUUUGAUUUUUGAUCAACCGUUGGUCAUUUCGUCGCUUGAGGCUUCUGUCGAACUUCAUAUUUUGCAUUAGAAAUCCGGUUUGCUUGUGGCUUAGGUAGGACUUGGCGUUGUGCUCGACUCAAUUGAUUUUGCUUUUGAUUCCGUGGGGGAAGUUGAGUUGUAGAUGAUGCCGAUUAAUGUUGCGAAGUUGCCAAUUGAUUCUUCUUUGUCUUGUUCGGGCAACUCCUUUUGAUGUGUCCUUUUGAUGCCACAUUUAUGACACACAUUCUCUUUCAAAGUUGUUGAGACUUUAGAAUUUGACUUUUGAUCCUUCUCAACAUACGUUCUUUCAUACCCGACACCCAAUUUGUUCGUUUGGCCUAAUCCGAGCAUAUGAUCUAAUUUCUUUGAACCGGAAGAGAAUUUUUGUAUGUCAGAUUGAAGUUGACGAACUUGAUUGGUCAAUGACUUGUUGGAUGUGUGCGAUUCCUCAAAUUGUUGCUCCAAAAAUCCAACCUUGUCUUUAUACGAUUUGAUCGUUGAUUCCGCUUCAUCAAGUUUCUCUUGGAAGAUUAAGUUAUUCUUAGAAAUCAAUUCCUUUUCCUCCUCAAGAGCACUGUUCAUUGUCUUCAAAGUUUUGUUCUCCUCUUCAAUGUCCAAUAACCGACGCCUCAACUUCUUAUUGAGCUUGGUCAUCUUUUUCGAAUCAAUAAGAAGUUGGUUGUAUGCUUCCGCUAUAUCCUCGUCGUUUGACUCCUCCUCGCUUUCACCGAUAUCGCUCGAAGUACCUUGCACGGAAGGAGAAAUACUAGAAUUAGAAACAAUUGAGGAUAAGCACAUAACAUUAGACGAAGGCAAAGAAUUAUUAGCAAGUAAAGCAAUAUGAUCAUCCUUUUCUUCGUCACUUGAAGAUGAUUCACUCGAAGUAGAAUCAUCCCAAGUUUUUGCUUGCAAAGCCUUUUGUCUAUAAGUCUUCUUAGAAGGACAAUCCGUUGCAAUGUGACCGUAGCUUUUACAUUUGUAGCAUUGGAUUUUUCCUUCAAAUUCGUCUUUUUCAUUCAAAGACUUUGCAAGUUUUUUAUCCUUAGAUUUUAAAUUAGAGGAAUGCUAUAACAUACCGAAACAUCGGUAAUUAAAUUCGAACUUUGGUCAAAUUGACCAAAGUGCGAGGUUGGUACACUUCGGAGAGGCCGAAGGCGUCAAAUAAUGCAAAAUGCAUUACUGGGGAUCUUCGAGAGCUUUUGGGAAUCAAAAUCUGCAAACUACAGGUUUUGUGCUCUCGGGGACCGGUCCCUGGUGGGAGAGACCGGUCCCCGAAUGCGUAGGCAGCGAGAUGGCUGAGAAAUCGGCUAAGUUAUAAAAAAUCAGCUCUCGGGAACCAGUCCUUGCGAGGAGAGACCGGUCCCCCAGAGAUCGGUCCCAUCGAGGGAGACCGGUUGCAUCGCGUGUAGCCUGCGCAGUCCGCGGGAGGAGCUCUUAGGGACCGAUUCUAGGUCGGGGAGACCGGUCCCUCACUGCGAAAAAUGCCCUGUUUGGGCAGUGCACUGGAAAUAAAGUGGAGGAGCCUUGUUGUAAUUGUUACAACACAUUAUAUACCCAACCCCCUCUCCCUUUACAGCCAUUCACACCUCUCCCUCUCACUUUCUCUCUUUUCUCUCUCUAGAAUCCUAGCACUAGAGCUUGGAGAAGAAGAAGAAGGAGCUUGAGGAGGGAUCUUUCGUGGCUUUGGUGGUCCUAGAAGCUCUCCAACAAGAAGGCUUUGGUGGAGCUUGGGCAAAGGUGAGUCCUUAAGCAAAAAUGAGUCUAGGGUUUGGGUUUAGAUCUUAGAUUUUUGGGUUUUGAUCUCUCUACAAGUGAGGAAACCCUCUAGAGACCUUGAAACNNNNNNNNNNNNNNNNNNNNNNNNNNNNNNNNNNNNNNNNNNNNNNNNNNNNNNNNNNNNNNNNNNNNNNNNNNNNNNNNNNNNNNNNNNNNNNNNNNNNNNNNNNNNNNNNNNNNNNNNNNNNNNNNNNNGAAUUGACGAACCGUCUUCGCCGACGCGUUCAGAGACCUAGCAAUUAGGUUUGCGACCCAUCAAAUUAGAUCAAAACCCUAGAUUUCCCAAAACCCCAUUUUGGAGCCCUAGGUUUCAACUAGGUAAAAAUCCAUCACUCUAGCCUUGGAUUUAAGCAUAAUCCAUCUAAUUAGCAUCCUAGGAUUCCAAAAAUACCAUUUAUAAGACAUUUAGACCAACCAUUUAAGAUCUACCAUUAAAGGGGUAGCAAGCUUACCUCCAAAAGCUCUCCAAUGGCCCAAAGAGGAGGAAGAAGAAGUAGAACUCCUUCUCCAAGCCUUCUCCUCCACCUUCUCCUUCACUUUCCUCUUCUUCUUCUUCUCUUUCUUUCCUUUCUAGAGAGAGAGAGGGAGAGUUUAGGUUACAAAAUGUGAGGGAGAAGAGAGAAAAAUGAGCUCCAACACACCUCUAUACCCUUGGCACAAUUGCACAAAGGUCCCUCAACAAUAUAAGUCACAAACAGCCCAAACUGGGCCAUUUUCGGGUGCUGGGACCGGUCCCAGGCAGUGAGAGACCGGUCCCCGAAGGUCCAGAAAAAACAGCAUUCCAGACUUAGCCAAAUUUUCAGCUUUUUCAGCUUUCGGGGUCCGUUUUCGCUCCGUUUUCGCCCGUUUGACCUCCGAUUCGUUUCAAAUCGAACCGAGACUCUCCAAACAUGUUUUCGAGCAUGUUUUUAUCAUCUUUUAAUCCCCGCUAAUACCGGGUUUAGUUCAUGGUCCGACAUGGCCUUUCGGGUCCCUUUCCGCGCCUACGCGCACCAAAUCGCCCGGAUUCUCCCAAACUUCACCGAACUUCACCGGAACCCUUCAAAUGGCUCUCCAACCAAAUGUACACCGUAACUUCAUGAUUUUAGAAGUCCGGUACCUUACAUUCUCCCCUCCUUAAAAGAGUUUCGUCCUCGANCAACCAAAUGUACACCGUAACUUCAUGAUUUUAGAAGUCCGGUACCUUACAUUCUCCCCUCCUUAAAAGAGUUUCGUCCUCGAAACUAACUCACUUCAAAUCUAACACACACCUCAACUCAACUUAUUGAGUAAUCGAGGGUUCCAAUGCACUUUCGCGCUCCGGGGUGGCCUUUCAUUCAUCGGAACUCUCCGAAGGCUCACUACGGAGGAUGUGAGACCAAAUUCACUCACAUUUACCAUGUACAACUCCAAAAGUGCAUUACUAGCUCACAAGGAAUCUCUCCUUGCACUACUCUCCCAAAUUGGGGAAAUCCACUCCGGUUCGAUCACCGGCAUUGCCUAAAGGCGAUGUCGUUGGUGCAUUGAUCAAUCGCAAGUGCCACCAUCACCUCCAGAUCUUUGCUCUAUCGCGAGAUGGCCUACCCCGGCACAUCUCUCGAACCUCAAUCCACGAAGGAGCGUUAUCUUCAAGUUCUCCAACUUCUCCAACAUGACCCAGCCUGCCUGGGCAAAUCUCAUACUCGGGGACCGGUCUCUCCCUGCCAGGGACCGGUCCCAGAGGACCUUCUCCAAUUCACACGUUCGGGAACCGGUCUCCCUGGCCCAGGGACCGGUUGCCUCGCGCGUCGCUGCAACCACCAGCCGGUGGGACCGGUCUCUCCCUGCCAGGGACCGGUCCCCGAGAGCAAUUUCUGCCAAGUGUAGAUUUUUGCAUAACUUGCUCUCGCGGAUCCGUUGCAAUGCACUUCUGGUGCAUUUGACUUCUUCGGCUUUCCCGAAGCACUCCUACUUGACAACUAGUCGAUUUUGAGCGAAGUUCAAUUCUCGUAUUCCGAAAAUUUACCUCCUUACACCAACUCCUCCACAGAGUUAUUGGUUAAACCGAUUACGUCGGCUUCCACAAUUGGACCAACGGUCACAAUUACUACGUAGGCCUAUAGCCUAGCCAUCUCAACACCCGUAAUGCCUCUCGCUCGCAAGCGUCGACUCAAUCAUAACGGGGCGAAAUUCUCACUUUGGAAUUCGCACACACUCCGACCAGGAGCAACUAAGACAUCAAACCACUACAAUUCGUCGGGUUGGGUCAUCAUCGCACUCUUAAUGCGCACUCGAUCUCGAGAUCCAACACGUGACAUUCUCGCUCCCAAACCUAAGCUCGGACCACUGCCCUAACCAAAAUCUCCGCCCCUCUCAAUUCGAGUUAGGCAACGCACUAUCACAACUUAUGCAUGCUAGGGUAACUACACCGACCCAUGCUCUGGUCCCUACUAUGCUUAUGAACAAGUAGUAGCAUACGGCCACAACUACAAUGCAUGCAAUGCACAUAUUUAAUAUCAUGCAAAGGCACAUACUUGCUUCAACUGAACCAUACCUGCCAUGACAUCAUCCGUAGCAGCAGGCUCCUCGACCUGAGCAGCGUACACCCGGCCACUCGGAGCUAAUCGGGUUGCCUCAGGUUGACGUGGCACCAUAGCACGUCCAGCCGACACAACACUCGGUGGGGCUCCGCCAUAAUAGCCUGGAAUCGCCGGAGCCGAUGCGACAGACGGGGCAACCAAAGCCUUUCUCGGGCAUUCACGGGCCAUGUGCCCCGCCUGGCCGCAUUCAUAACACCUCCCACGACGAUGCUCACACUGCGUCGCUCGGUGGUCGCCGCCACAAAAGAUGCACCGCUGCACUUCACGGCCCUCGGACCGUUCUCGCGGGUACUUCGGGGGCUUCUUGGAACCCGAUUGAUCUCCAAAACCACCGCCCUGUCGCUUUCUCCCUUUGUCCUUCUCGAACGCCUCGCGCUCUUCUCGUUCGCAAGCGUUCCCGUGCUCAACCCACAAGGCACGGUCCAAAGCCUCGGCCAAAGUGUGGAACUUGAAGGCAUGCACCGUCCGAAACACACCAGGUCGGAGUCCCCUCACGAAGCAAUCAGCCCGGUCCUGAUCCAUCGUCGCAACAUCCGGGACGCAGUUCAGGAGAUGUGUGAACUCCCGCUCAUACUCCCGAAUCGUGCGGUUACCCUGCUUAAGCUUUCUGAAGUCCUCCCGCAUCUUUCUUUUAUCACUGUCGGGAAAGUACUCCCCGAACAUCAACCUUCGGAACUCCUCCCAAUCGAUCGGGGGAAGAUCCAAAGAUCGAUCUUGCUUUACUCUCUUCCACCACACCCUGGCCCGCUUAUCAAAGCAAUGAGCGGCCAAAUUCACCUUGUCCCGUUCCUCCGUAUAGAUGUAACACACUGGACCUUUGCAAACUGCGAGGUUCGAGUGUUUGGAGGUAUUUCGAGCUUUUCCACACUUGGUGGAGGGUUGUAGAAUAUUUCCCGACCCGAAAAGUUCGAAAUCUGGAACUUUGGACAAGUCCUGAGAGUUUUUACUCUCGGGGACCGGUCCCUGGAAGGAGAGACCGGUCCCCUCAGUGAGCAGUGUUGAGGCAGCCUGAGGCAACCGGUCCCUGGCAGGCGAGACCGGUUCCCGAACGCGUCUUCGCAGUGGGAGACCGGUCCCGCGCAGGGAGAGACCGGUUCCCGAACGCGGGUUUUUCGGGUUCGCAGCGAGAGACCGGUCCCUGCUGGGAAGAGACCGGUCCCUCUGGGCGAAAACUGCCCAGUUCGGGCUGAUGCAAUAUUGGGUUUUUGGAGAGGCCUCUUGGAUUUUGUUACACUAGAUGGGCUUAUUAGCCAUUUACUCCCUUCCCCCCUCAUUUCUCACCACCCUACACCUUCUAGAGAGAGAGAAGAAGAAGGAGAGAGAAGAAAGAGAGAAGGAGGAGAAGAAGAAGAGGCAGCUAGUUUGAGGGAGCUUAGAGCUCACCCCUUUCCCCUUUCCACCUUUGCAAGGCUUGGAGCUUGCUUGUAGAGCUUAAGUGUGGAUCAACUUCAACCUAGGGCAUUUUGGGCUUGGAUCGAAGCUUCCAAAGGGUUAUAUCAUAUUUCCCUCCUCUAGAUUCUUGUUUUUGUGAUUUUUGGGAGAUGAAACCUAGAAUGAGAUUUAGGGCUUAUUUUGGACAUUUUCGAUCUAGGGCUUUUGGACCAAAUCGAUUGGCUAGAACCUUCUAGGGCUUGGAUUGGAAGGGUUCUAGCUCUCUUUUGGAGCUUUGGGAGAGAUUUCUACUCUUGAGGUAAAUUUUGGCCCUUUUUUGCUUCUUUGGUUAAUGUUUGAUAUUAUGCGAUGAUCGUAAUCCGUGUAUCUUGUCGUCAUUACUUUUAGGAUAUUUUGGACUCGGGACAACUUGUUCGGCGAAAGAGACCCUAACGCGACGGAUUCGGUGGUUUGACCUAGCCUACAUAUGAGAAAUUCUCAUAUUAUGUUUUAUAUGUUCGUAAAAUGGAAAGCAUGCAUAUUCAUACUAAAUAUUUUAUGGUGAUUUUUAGAAUGCUUAAAAUGCAUAUGUUAUGUAUGAUGAAAUUCGACCUCUAUGUAAUAAGAGGAGUUGCUUGAGGGAAAUCUAUGGUCGCAUUUCGCACUUUCAUGAGACUUGGUUCAUGUACUAUAGUGUAAAUGAGUUCGAUUCAUGCAUUAAACCUAAGUUUACUUGUGUCAUGAAUGUAUAUACUGAACUUUUGCAAAUUGCGGAGUUCGAGUAUGUGGAAUGGUGUGUGGAUCACUCUACAUGUUCUAAAGGUUUAGAACAAGUUUUCGGAUAAAGUUAGAGGAUGAUUGGAAUGCUUAAAGCAAGAAAGUGCGUUGAACUGCGAAAAUAGGCUUUUUCUGCUUGCUGUACCGGUACAGCCGCUAUGGUGUACCGGUACACAGUGGCAAUUCGUGGCAGCAAGGCUAUUUUGGUCUUUUCACAUUUUGAUCCCUAUCUAUAACCCCCAGCACGACUCCAGGAGCUCUGUGGAAGGGUUUUGAGACCAGAGGAGGGUUUUUCACCAUUUUUUCUCUCUCUCUCUAGGGUUUUUCUCUCUCUACGUCGAAUUCGCCGAUUUCGCUUGUUUUCGUCGCCGCGUGCGUUCUUCGCUGUUUGCGAGCGUCGCAGAGCUUACGUGGACGUGUGAGAGAGUAUUUUGGACGGGUUUUCGCAGCCCUGGACCAGCAGGUCACUGGUUGGCAGCUUGAGAAGGUAAGCGACUCACUUUCGCCGUUAUCGACGUUCUAUUCGUCGAUUUGAGUAAUGAUUUCGGGUUUUUGCUUCUUGCUGUACUAGGCUGAGAUUUCAGCAAUUAAAAAUGAGAUAAUUAGCUGUGAAUGAACCUCCUUAGACCAGGGAUAAACUACUUUGAAGCUUAAUUGGAAGAUUUAGCCAUUUAUGAAGCUAAAAUCGGAACUAAAUGCAAUUGUUUGAGCGAAUUGAUGCCAAUUGGAAUUUUCUCUUCGCAGCAGGUCUUCGAGUUUCGUUGAGCUGAACUUGUACUUUUAGAAGCUGGUUUGGAAGGUAUUCUAACCUGAGGUAAGCAGGGAUUUCAGUUAGAAAACUGAAUUCGCAAGANNNNNNNNNNNNNNNNNNNNNNNNNNNNNNNNNNNNNNNNNNNNNNNNNNNNNNNNNNNNNNNNNNNNNNNNNNNNNNNNNNNNNNNNNNNNNNNNNNNNAUUAGCUGAUUGUUCAUUAGUAGUCUUGUAUUAAUGAUGAAGUGAUUUCUUUCUUAUCAGAUAGGCUUAUUAUCUUAAUCCGUCAUACCAUCAUCGUUAUAAUCUUGGAUUUGAUGAUGAACUGUUGAAAGCAUACGAACGUUAUCAUAGAUUGGAGAGGGAUCCAACACAUGCCUGCUCUUGCAUAAGUGAGGUUAAUGAUUUUUCAAUGUAUUUAUUAGUUUGCUAGAUGGUUAAAUAAUUUUGCUUUGGAAAAUUUUUCUUGAUUAUUAUACUAACAUAUAAAGGGAAAAUAUUGCGUGAAUCCUCUGGAACUUUGGUGAAGUGCGGUGAAUUAGACGGAAGCCACAAUAGCGAUCCGUAAGUAAACUCCAUAUUUGGACAGUUACAGUUUGAUGAUAAAUAUAUUUUGAUAUAUUUUUAACUUGUAAUUGUACAGGCUGAGUGGUGUGGCUACAAUAUGGUGGAUCCGGCAAAGGCUUAAAAAAGAUUGCUGUGCGUGUCCUGUAGGCACAACAACAAACGUCUGAGUGGAUCGUGAACGCAACGUGUGCGGAGCACGUUUCGCACUUAUACAUUACAAAGUGCGCUAACGGAUUAGCGUCAACGAUUAGAGAAGCUAGGUUUAUGUUCACUUAAUAUGAGCUCCGUUUAAGAUGCAUGCAAGGGGAGCUAUGCAUAAGGAAAAGGGUAUUUAAAACUUAUGAUCCCUUGGAUGAAGUUUGUUAUCAAUGAUAAUCAGACCCCGUACUUGAUUGGCUAUCAAGAUAGAGACAAUCAAGAAGACCCAUUACUCGGUAUGAGCCUGGAGAUCCACCACGACCAUUCAGAAUAAUUGCUGAUGAAGCAGGAAUUAGUGAUGCUGAAGAUGGGGCUGACGAGAACAUAGGAAGCUCUCAAGGUAAUGGGUGCAAGAACAAGCGGCUUUUGGACGAAGAAUCCCAACAAUCUGCACGUUAUUCUGAUGCGGAAUUCGAACGUCUAUGCAAGAACCUGGCAGCCAUGGAUAUGGUCGUUCACGUCAGUACUCAGAGUCAAUCUGGAAAGCCGAGAAACGUCUCUAUACUGCCAAAAGGCCUUCAACGACAGUCUACGCGAGUGGUAGAGCAAAAAAAUAUGGACAUCGAUGGAUCCGAUUAGCAUGCAGCUGAUGCACUCCCACAGAUAAUGAUAGUGAUACAUCGACGACCAGCAAUUCUGGUUACCCAGUCUAAAGCAUGAAUGGUUUGAGUGAUGAAUGAUGAUACCACUAAUGAGCAGUGAGGAUGGUGGCGACUUAUUCCACCAACACAACAGGAGAGUGGAGGUGUGUGGUGCCUUAUAUUUACUGAAGAGCAAAACUUCAACAUGACACUCAAGAUGCUGAUCAUGGGUCUUUCGGCCACGGUCAAACAUCCCGGAAUGGUAUAUUGGGACCGUCGAAAAGGUAGAGGUCCUCACAACAGUUAUGCGCGGAGAUGAGAGAAGGUAUUGGAGGCAUAUCAACAUAGACCUCACGAAGGAGAUGAUAUUUUGCAAAACAGUUUUGAUUCAGCUACUUCAAUAUCGAUCGCCAUCCCUCAUAUCACAUGCGUCUUAUAUGGAGAGAUAUUUGAUAUGACUCAUCAAUUUAUGGCACUCAGAGUGCAAUCCCAAAAUCCAUCCCUGGACCUAGUGAAAGUGCAACACGGCGAAUCUACAUCCACUCAUGGAUAUCCAAUUAUGGUUUGCUUCUUUCCAUUACAAUCCAUAUCCUUAUGAUGCUUCAGUUUAUAUGCCGCAGAUGACUGUUGUCCAUAUAUCCACGAUCCAUUUGCACUAUGGACAUUAUCUCCGACAAUACAAUGACCUAUAUUUCGGGACAUAUAUGAUCUUUCGUCACAAUACAGCAAUAUUAUAAUCAACUAUUGCUCAUAUAAAAUCUUGUAUCUGCAAACUGACAGUAUGCCAUUAUGAUUCAAGCACGACCAAUCUAUGUGGAAUUAAGCCAGUAUUCUCUAUGUAAAGAUGUAAAUUUAAAAUAAUUAUGUUAUACUGGUGAAUUUUAUUUUGUAUUUUAAUUUUAUUCUAUAUCAGUAUAAUUUUAUUUUACUUACAAAAGCUUAAUGAAUGUUAAUUGAUGCAGUAUAAUAGGUAUAUCAUAGCCAAAUAUAAAUUAAUUAUUUAUUUAAAUUCUUUUCAAAUAUAUUAUAAGAGUUUCAUUGGAAUCUCAAAAAAAUCAAAAAAAAAAAUUCGUUGUCCAAGCGUCUGCCCAGUAGGAGUUCGGCGUAUCUGUCGGCACAGCAGCGUGCCACGUUGUCGGCACGCAAGCGUGCCGUGCCGUACGUGCAGGGCUGUAACGGCACGCCCGUGCCACGGCACUUUAAUUUCAAACCUUGCGCACAGAGCUUCAUUCAGUGUCCUAACGAGUGUUUGGCGUGUCCAGUGCAAAUAGGCGAUUGAUUAUGCGAUUUGAUCUGCUAUUGCUACGAUCAGAUGUGGCGGCAUUGGGUGAGUUACUUUUGGGGACCAACUGGCCUCUCAAGAUACUACGCCGGUGUGGUGAUAGAUUGUGGAAAGCAAGGGUGAUUCACUUUUCGUGAGGGCCUAACAAGAAGAGUUAGUCUACCAAGCGUGCAAAAGUAACGCUUCGCGGCGACUCAUAUCGUCCUGUAAGAUGCGAAGAAAAUAUCAAAGGGUUGUUAAAGCCUAUUCGGCAGACCGUGUGGAUGCUCGAAAGGAGUACCCUGAGUUGGGGAGAUAUUCGAGGUGGUAUGUCGAGUAUACCCGAUGGUCGUUUCCGGCGGAGUUACCGGGGACUGCCACUGGACGGGAAGUUUGAGUUGUCAUUGACUUGAGGUCCCGGGCGGAGCAGUUUCUAAAGGCUCGUAUAAUGGACCCGGUGAGUUUAGGAGCUAAAAAGGUUCAACUACAGGACUCGCUCGAUAAGGGCCUUCUUGAGACCGGUGUGUGUCACCGUGGGCGAGCCGUGCCUAUUUGUGAAGAACAAAGGAUGCGUACGCUUCGACUCGCCGUUUAGAUUAUCACGAGUUUGAACAAAGUAACGAUAAGAGACAAAGCUCUCACCGUUGCCAAGGAAUUGAUGAUCUAUUCGAUCAGGUGACAGGGUUCCAAGGUGUAUUCGAAGAUUGAUCUCCAAUCGGGGUAUCAUCAAUUAAAGAUCAGGCCAAAAGGAUGUGCACAAGACGCGUACCCGUAACGCGGUGCAAGGAUAUGGCCAUUACGAGCGCGGUAUGCCGUUUGCGGCUUACUAACGCCCGGCAGCAGUUUAUGAGACUGAUGAUCGAGUCGGCCGUUGUUUAGAUCGAUGCGUCGUGGGUUUAUAGACGCGUGUUGGUCUAUUCGAAAAGUGAAGAAGGAGCAUGAAGAGCCUCUGAGAGCUAUUUCUUGCAAUAAUAAUCAGACAAGAGAAAGCGUCUAUGGCAAAGUUAAGGAAAUGGUGACUUUUGGCUAAAGGAGGUCACUUUUUGGGUCAUGUGGAUCGCCGGAAGUUCGGUAGACCCAAAAGAAAAGUGGAGUGCCGAUCAACAGGAUUUGGCCUCGCCAACGGAAUGUAGCGGAGAUCCGCAAGUUUUACUUGGACUGGCGGGUAUUUACCGCGGUUCCGUGGAGGGUGUUCGCCAAAGAUAACCAACUCCACUAAUUGCGCCUCACGAUAAAGGAGUAAAAGUAUGUUGGAGCACGAUUUGCGAUCGAAGCUUCGAAGAGUGUAAGAACAGAUGGACGUCGACGCGGUGCUUUGCCUAUGACCGGAACUCCGGGAGAGACCUUUGUAGUGAUACAGUAGAUGAGCUCGUAUGUUAGGUCUCCGGGUGUGUAUUAAUGCAGAAUGGGCGGCGUUAUUUGCUAGCAUCGCGCAGUAAAGGUUAUGAGAAGAAACUACCCGAUUCAGACCUCGAGUUAGCCGCGGUGUGCACUUUUCUCGCUAAAAAGUAGAUUUGGAGGCUUACGGUGUUAUGGUGAACAUUGUGGUAUACACCAAUCACAAAGUCAUAAAGUACAUGUUCACCCGAAGGAUUGAAUAUGCGACACGGCGACUGCGCUAGAGUUUGUAAAGGGACUAUGAUGUGCACAAAAUAUAUAUAUACCACCCCGAAAGCCACAUGUUGUGGCCGAUGCCUUUGAAGUAGAAAAUCGCCGCGGAGAAACACUUUAGCGACGAGCAAUUACGCCUCAACCGCUUAUUGCAAAGGGCAAAUCCGCACAACGAUUCGGGUUGGAAGUGUAGCGCCGGACAGUGCCGCUACACUUGCCAUCAUUAGUUCCGUGCACCGCACCUAUUGGAAAGGAAUCAAGAAGUUACAAAGCUUCGAGACAUCACUUAUCUCCAAAACAGGUCAGGGUGAUGUUGAGAGCCGGUAGUUGAAGAUUUUGGCGUUGGAGCCGAUGGGCGGCACUUCGACUUCGAAAUCGAUUGGUGUGUGCCAAGGAUGAUGAUUACGAAGGCGAUAUGCCAAGAAGGCAUUCAAUCCCCUAUAGUAUACUACACCCGCGGACUAAAAUGUACAAGGACUUGCAAAGAGCACUAUGGUGCCGAGAUGUAAUGAAGAGAGAUUUGGGAGUUCGUGCCGCCAAUGUCUAAACGUCGCGCCAAUCAAGUAAACUAGCGCCGAUUGCCGGCGGAAAGCUACAAAGAUCUCAAUAGUCGUGUUGGAAUGGGAAAAUUAGCAAUGGCUAUGUACCGUUUCUCGAUCACAAGGCGGAUCACGAUGCGAUAUGGGUGAUAGUGACGAUUGACAAAGGCUCGGCACACUGUUUUGCCGAUAAUAUCUCACCGUGGUCGCGGAACAAGCUAGCGCAGUUUAUCUCGACAGAGGUUUGAGACUUCAUGGGUCCCAAGGUGUCGAUCGUAUGUCGGAUCGAACCCAGGUUAGCAUCCCAUUUUUGGAAGAGUGUUUGGCAAAAAAAGAACGCGGUAUGGCACGGCUCGAUCUUCACGUACAGCUUUCAUCCUCAAAGUGAUGCGUGUAGUCGAACGGACAAUACAAAAAUCUUGAGGAUUUACUUCGAGCGUGUGUACUAGAUUACAAAGGAGGAUGGCAUGAUUUCUUUCCUAUGGCGGAGUUCGCCUACAAUAACAGCUACCAAGAAAGUAUAGCGAUGGCGCCUUUUGAGGCACUAUAUGGACGUAAAUGUCGUUCUCCUAUCCAUUGGAGCGACGUGGGCGAGAGAACGGCUCUUGGCCCGGAUGUGAUGCGAGAGGCGGAAGAAAAAGUUCGCCUUGCCCGUCAACGGUUGGCGAUGGCACAAUCUCGGCAAAAGAGUUAUGCCGACAGGCGAAGAAAGGAUUUGGAGUUCGCGGUUGGAGACCGUGUAUUCUUGAGAGUGUCGCCGAUGCGAGGAGACAAACGAUUCAAGGUCCGUGGGAAGCUGAGUCCCCGUUAUGUCGGACCGUUUGAGAUAUUGGAGCGUGUGGGUGCGGUAGCGUACAAGCUCGCACUACCACCGAGACUCGCGGGAGUUCACAAUGUGUUUCAUGUGUCGAAUCUUCGAAAGUAUAUCCGAAACGCGACACAUGUAUUAGAGUACGAGCCCGUGGAGCUACGUGAAGACAUGUCCUAUGAGGAGCAGCCCGUGUGCAUCCUCGAUCGAGAAGUUAAGAAGUUGCGAAGUCGCAAAAUUCCAUAUGUGAAAGUCCAAUGGAGCAACCACGCGGCGCGAGAAGCCACUUGGGAGCUCGAGGAGUCAAUGCAGAAAGAAUACCCGCAUUUAUUUGAAUCGACGAGCUAAGGUAUGCGUAAUUUCGCGGACGAAAUUAUUUUAAGGGGUGGAGAAUGUAAUAUACCGAAAAUUCGGAAAAUAAAAUGUCGAACUUUAGUCAAAUUGACCAAAGUGCGAGGAUGGUACACUUCGGAAAGUCCGAAGGUGUUAAAAUGAUUAAAAGUGAGUUGUAGAAGGUUUUCGAGAGCUAAAGAAUCAAAUUCUGCAAACUGCAGAUUUUGAGCUCUCGGGGACCGGUCCCUGGUGGGAGAGACCGGUCCCCGAACGCGUGCAGAUUGAGACAGCCGAAAAAUCGGCUAAGUCCUGGAAGAUCAGCUCUCGGGAACCGGUCUCUGCCUGAGAGACCGGUCCCCCAGAGACCGGUCCCAUCAGAGAGAGACCGGUCGCAUCGCCCGCAGCGGCUCUGGCUUCGCAGGGUGGACCUUCGGGAACCGGUCCCUGCUCGGGGAGACCGGUCUCUGCCUGCGAAAAUUGCCCAGUCCAGGCAGUGCACAGAGGUAAAAGUUGAGGGGUUUAGCUGCAAUUUUGCAACCCAAUAGGAUAAGUAUGAGGGCAAAUGAGAUAUUUCUCUCAUUUCCUCACCCUCUCACACUCUCUUCUCUCCCUCUCUCUCUAGAAAGCAAAGGAGAAGAAGAAGAAAGAAAGAAAGGAGGAAAAGAAGGAAAAGAAGGUGAAGAAGAAGAAGAUCAAGUAGUAAGCCUACCUCUUCUCCUUCCUCCUUGGAGCGACUUUGGGAAAGCUUUGAGGUAAACUUUGAUCCCAAGUAUAGUAAAACCCUAGAAUGAGUUUUGAAUGACCUAGAAAUGGAUUUUAAUGGAAUGUUUAAAGAGUUUUGAAGCUUUCUUUCACUUCUUUGGAGAUCAAAACCUUGGUUUGCUAUAGAGGUGAGCUUGGACCACCUCUCAUGGUGAAAUCCAAACUAGGGUUUGGAGUGAGCUAGGGAUGGUUCUAAUGGACUAUUUAGAGUAUAAUGAAGCUACUUUUGCUUCCCAAUGAGAUCAAACCCUAGAUUUUGAUGUACAUUGGAGCUAGGGCACCCAAAUUGGGGCUUUUGCUCAUGAAGGUUUCUAAGUGCAAUUGACCCUCUAGAAACCUAAUUGGGGGUAUUUCCGACGCGUUGGUGCGCUCGGAAUAGCAUUACGAAAAGUCUAUAGAAAGAUAUGGGCAAAAUGGCCUAAGUUGGCUUCGUUUUGCCGCAGGUAAAGAACGAAGGAUCUAAAAAUCCCGAGAAAAUCGUCGGAGCACCUAAGGAGAUCCUACAAGAGUGGGUGGUUCUUUCCAAACUCAUUGAAAUUCUCUCUAUGCCUAAUGUGUCAUUCUUUGAGCAUAUGUUCUAUUAUUGUUGCAUGCAUUUUAGGGUAAAGUAAUGAUGAAUUGUGAAUGAUGAAUGAUUGGGAGCACAACUUGCAUAAUGAGAUGGUUGAGAACCUAAUAAUGUCAAAACCCUAGAUGUAUGCAUGAGAGAAAAUGUGAGCACCCAAAGUGAGUAAAAGAACAGAGUGGCACAAUUGACAUAGAUCGAGUGGCAUUUGAAAACGUAAAGUAAAGUGACACUAGAGUUAGUGUGAGCCAAAGAACCAAAGUGAUGUAAAGAAUGAUGAAAAUGACAAUGUGUAAAGUUAAAGUAAAGUGGGCAAUAAGAACGAGAAAUGUAAGAACAAGAACACUAAAGAUGGCAAAAGUAAAAGAAAAGUAAAGAAUGUGAUUGCUAGAGUUAGUAAAAGUAAAAGAAAAUGCAAAGAUCCAUGAUUGUGCUAGAUGGCAACAUAAAGUGAUGUAAUGAACACUAGAGUUAGUGUAAAGUCGAGAUUCAACAUACAAUCCUUUGAGUUAAGGAUUUCGAUCAUGCUUGCUAUGAGUUCCGUGCUCGGGCGGUCGCUCCCCUCGGGCGAUGCGCUCCGGAGUUAUGCAUCCGGGUUGGAGUAGACCCGUAAGGACGAUCCUAGCGGGUGAGUUCCUGCGAUGAUGGACUUAAAUGUGAAGCAAGUCAAUGUGGCGAUACCCCGGUUAGCUUGAGAUUAAAGAACAAAGAACAAAGAACAAAGAGCAAAGAAUAAAGAACAAAGAACAAAGAACAAAUGUAAAGAUAAAGAACAAAAGAUUUGCAUAAUCUGCAUAUAUUUAAUGUUGAGCAUAUUUCUUGCUAUUUGCUUCAUGGCUAUUAUCAUGUUAUAGAUUGGUUACUAUAUCCUACUUAUCCUUUCUAUUAUGCCUGAGUUAGUCCUAGUGGGAAAGUCGGUGAUGUUGGGGCCGAACCCACUGGGAACUUUGUUGUAGUUCUCACCCCACUAUUUCCACAGAGCCGGGACCGAGCGAGCCGGCGAGCGACCGCGGUAAAGGUAUCGCGCCUUAGUCAGAGGCCACCAACGUUGGGUUUCAUUUUGUAGUAAAGUACCUUAUGAUCAUCUUUUGUAUUUGAUGAUUAGUGAUAUAAAGAAAGAAUGUAAAGCUUAUUUUGAGGUAAAUGUGAUGUAAGAAAGAAAUGAUGAAAUGAUGUAAUGAUUGUAAGAAUUCGAUAAAUUACUAGAUGAAUGCAAUGUAUAUGAUCUAAAAUGAAUCAUAUUACUUGUGAAUGUUUAAUUUCCUUUUUCUUUCACUAAUGGCUAUUGCUUACCCUCGUGUAAGCCGUUUGUGUAUGUUUCCGCUAGUGCUUUUCUCUAUUGUUGAAAUUGUACAUGUGAUGAGCCUUGGGCGAAUAGGAGAAACUCUGUCCGUUCGGCGUCUGUUUGACGUGCUCGGGUCGGGCCAAAUUGGCAUCGGUCCCGGGGCGUGACAGGGAGAGCGUAGAUGAAGGGGGAGAGCAUGGAUGAACAGGCAUUGAACUGAAGCAGAGGAUGAUGAGUUCAAGAACAAAGGGAGAGCGUAGAUGAAGAGGGAGAAGGAAAUCAAAACUUCAAGACUCCUAGUUGCGUCUAAGUCAUAGAGUCUGUUUAGGAGUUUUGAUGUAAUUUUGAGUUUCAAAUUGUAUUUGGAUUACACGCGAGGGGUUCGAUGUUUUGGUGAUGACAUUUAACUUCGUUUUUCUUUAAAUUGUAAUUUGUGAGUUUGUGUGUGUUUUGUCACGAAAUUGCCAAAGGGGGAGAUUGUUAGGUCCUAUGUGUUGGCAAGUUUCGUGGGUCGAGUCGGAGUUUUGAAGAAGUCCGGAGCGGAGUAUUGAUGAUCGAAGAAUCCAAACUUUGAAGAAUCAGAAAGGACGCAAAACACGUAAAAAAUGAAUCACGAUGCUUAGGUAAGCUUUAAAUCUUGUUUAUGGUGAUUCAUACUUAAUUAUAGAUUUUAGAAUCAUGUUUUCAAGUUGUAAUUGAUUAGAAAGUUUCUAAGAGCUUGUAAAACCCGAAACAAUGCAUUUUCAGCGAAAAUUGCAUUGUUGUACCGGUACAAGAGUUUUCUGUCCAGGGUACAGCCAUCAGCGUUUGUGCAGAAAAGUUUGAUGGUUGUUUCGUUACAACCAUCACGGCUGUCCAGGGUACAAGCCCUGUUCCGGUACAAGAUGCAGUCUGUCCAGGGUACAGAAGCUUCGCAGAAAAAUCUUCCGUCAUGCUGUACCCUAGACUGCUUUCCUUGUUCCGGUACAAGGUGCUGAUUUUGGAAAGAAACUUUCUAAUCCUACUCCGUUUUGAUUCUAAAGUCUAUAAAUAAGCUAUAGGGAUUCUCUAACUGAUCAAGCAUCACGAAAAUAUAUAUUUGAGCAAUCCUAGAGGCUCAGAUUUCAUCCAAAACCUAUUUUCUACAAAAAGCCUCUUUUAGAUCAAAUCGAGAUAUUGAAAUUUGAUAUUAAUAUGUCGAUUUGAUCUCCGCUUCGCUUGGAGUUCUAUUCCCUGGUUUUNNNNNNNNNNNNNNNNNNNNNNNNNUUCCUUGUUCCGGUACAAGGUGCUGAUUUUGGAAAGAAACUUUCUAAUCCUACUCCGUUUUGAUUCUAAAGUCUAUAAAUAAGCUAUAGGGAUUCUCUAACUGAUCAAGCAUCACGAAAAUAUAUAUUUGAGCAAUCCUAGAGGCUCAGAUUUCAUCCAAAACCUAUUUUCUACAAAAAGCCUCUUUUAGAUCAAAUCGAGAUAUUGAAAUUUGAUAUUAAUAUGUCGAUUUGAUCUCCGCUUCGCUUGGAGUUCUAUUCCCUGGUUUUCUACGAUACUCCUAAGCGAAGGAUCACCAUAAUCAUGAUGCUCUUCAUGAACGGCGUCGUGGAUUCGGCGUGAACAAAGGCGGUUCGUGGAUUCGGAUCGUUGGCUCGUGGAUUCGAGUGGCGUUCGUGGAUUCGGAUCGUUGGCUCGUGGAUUCGAGUGGCGUCGUGGAUUCAGCGUGAUUGAAGCUUCGUGGAUUCGAAGUGGAGGCGUUCGUGGACUCGAACGUGAGGGCGUGGACAAUCCGGAGGGUAGCGCGAAGAUUCAUAGGAGGUUAAGAGAGGUUGAGUCCGUGGAGUCAGUAAUCACCUUGUAAUAUUUUCUCUUAGUGAAUUAUUUUUUUCGCGUGUUGAUCCCGUGGGUUUUUCUCCAAGUUGGAGUUUUCCUACGUAAAUCUCGGUGUGCUUUUUAUUUUCCGCAUUUAUUUUUAUUGCAUCGAGAUUUGUGGUUUUUAGCCGGUACACCUAUUCACCCCCCUCUAGGUGAUAGAUACAAUCUAGAUAGAUCCUUGGGCUCCUCAAAACUUUCAGGCGAACCCUCGGGUGCGCCACGAGAUUAAUGGACAGGUAGAUAGCUUUACUUCUUGGACAUGUGACGAGCUAGUUGAUUAACUAUUUCAUUAUACAUGCAUUCAUAUACAUAAUUCGGGCAUAGUAGUGUAGUUAUACUAUUCUGUCUUCACAGCUUUCCAUAUCUAUCUAUCUGUUUAUCUACUUGUGCCCACUUGGACCUAGUGGGGAGACCAGCGGAGUCGGCGGCCGAACCCACUGGGAACUAUAGAAGAUAGUUCUCACCUCACUCUCUACAGGUCCGAGUUCGAGUGCCCCCGGCAAGUGCGAGGAUCGUGGCAAGGGCAUAGCGCCCUAGUGGUGUAUGUACAUAGCUAGCUUUACUUCCUUUUGUAUUAGCCGUCACCCUUUGUAUUUGAGAGUAGAUGAUGUAUAGGUGUGAGGUUAUUUUGGAAGAUGUAAAAGCAUGUUAUAUUUAUGUUCAUAUUUUGAAAGUAAAUCGAUGUAUUAAAGAGAUUGAAUGAAUGUAAUAGAUAGAACCUUCUCUCUUUAUUUACUUGUAUGUCUCAUACUUGUAUCUUGCUCUUAUUUGUUAGCACUAGUGGUGCUCCUUGUGAUCGUGUAUGUAUGAAUUGAUUCCUGGGUAAAUUCUUAUACAUGAUCAGUUUGCUUAGCCUUGGACGGACAGAGGAGGUGCUGUCCAUUCGGCGUCUGUUUGACGCGCUCGAACCGAAUCGAAUUGGUAGCGGUCUCGGGGCGUGACAGCGUCGAAGAACGAAGAAUCCAACACUUCGGAGAAGGCGGAGAUAACUCACGACAUGAAUCACGAUGCUAUGGUAAAGUCUUUACUUCAUGUUAUGGUGAUUCAUACUUAGUUAUAGGCAUUAGAAUCAUUAUUAUCCAUGUUUAGUUGAUUAGAAAGUGCUUCGGAACUCUGCGGAACCCGAAACAGUGCUAAGUCUGAAAAAUGCACUGCGUACCGGUACAGCAAUUGACCCGUACCGGUACAGCCAUCGACUUUGGCUUCGCAAAUUUUUGUUCCGUCAUCGUGUAACCGGUGACAGCCUCACGUGUGCCAGUACACUGUGUAAAAUUGUGAAAACUUUCUAAUCCGACUCCGAUUGAUUCUAAAGUCUAUAAAUAAGUUAUAGGGGUUCUCUAACAGAUCAAGCAUCACGAAAAUACAUGUUUGAGAAACCCUAGAGGCUCGGAUUUCAUCUAAAAUCUAUUUUCUUCAUAAAGCCUCUUUUAGGUCAAAUCGAGAGAUUGUAAUUUGAUAUCAAUAUGUCGAUUUGAUCUUCGCUUCGCUUGGAGAUCUAUUUCCUGAUUUUCAUCGAUACUCUAAGCGAAGGAUCACCAUAAUCAUGAUGCUCUUCAUGACGGCGUCGUGGAUUCUGCGUGAUUGACGGCGGUUCGUGGAUUCGGAUCGUGAGCUUCGUGGAUUCGGAGUGGAGGCGUUUCGUGGAUUCGGAACGUGGCGUUCGUGGAUUCGAACGUGAGGGCGUGGACAACCCGGAGGAUUGCGCGAGAUUCAUAGGAGGUUAAGAGAGGUCGAGUCCGUGGAGUCGGUAAUCACCUUGUAAUCUUUUCUCUUAGUGAAUUAUUUUUUUGCAUGUUGGUCCCGUGGGUUUUUCUUCAAGUUGGAGUUUUCCCACGUAAAUCUCGGUGUGAUUUUUAUUUUUCGCAUUUAUUUUUAUCACAUUAAGAUUUGUGGUUUUUGGCUAUUACACCUAUUCACCCCCCUCUAGGUGUUAGAUACAAUCUAGAUAGAUCCUUCGGCUCCUCGAAACUUACAAUUGGUAUCAGAGCGAGAUCUAGAUAUAACUAAUGGCCGAAGGCGGUAACAUCAAUCGACCACCACUCUUCAAUGGCACGAAUUAUGCCUAUUGGAAAGUUCGCAUGAGAGCUUUUCUAAUCGCAAUCCAUGAGCGGGUGUGGAAAGCAAUAGAAUUCGGUUGGAAGCAUCCUAUCGAAGUCGUCGAUAAUGAUACCGUUCCUAAACCACGGAACAAGUGGACAAAAGAUGAAAACGAGUCAUCUUCGUUUAACGGUAAAAGAAUUAAUACUUUAUUCAACGCUUUAUCGCAAUCGGAGUUUACUCAUGUUUCGGCAUGCGAAACGGCACAGAAAAUUUGGGAUACUCUACAAGUUAUGCAUGAAGGAACGAGCUUAGUAAAUGUCCAAAAAUUACAAAUGUUAAUAAGUAAAUUUGAUUCAAUUUUUAUGGACGAAAAUAAGACCUUUACCGAGUACUAUACGCGUCUGCAGGACGUUGUGAAUACAUGCGCUAACUUGGGAGAGAAAAUUCCGAAUUCAAAGGUUGUAAGAAAAUUCUUCGAACUCUUCCAGAACGCUUUCGGGCAAAGGUUGCCGCUAUCGAAACCGUUAAGCAUCCGCACGAGAUGAAAGUAGAGGAAUUAGUAGGUGCUUUGCAAACUUAUGAAAUGACUUUUCCUACUAAUCAACCUUCUUCCAAGUCUUCUUCUAAAAGUACAGGGGUUGCACUCAAAUCGACAAAGAAAGAAGACGACGACUCGGAUUCCGACGGAGAUAUUUCGCUCGCCGACUUUGAACAUCAAUUAGCGCUCCUAACGAAGAAGUUCCGACGAAAUUUCCGGAAAAAUAGAUCGGACAAGGCUUCAUCUUCUAAGCAAAAAAAUUUUUCUAAAUCAUCUUCAUCUUCAAAAUCUAAGGAUAAAAAACUUGCAAAGUCUUCAAAAGAAAAGGAUGAAUUUGAAGGAAAAAUCCAAUGCUACAAAUGUAAAGGUUACGGUCACAUUGCAACGGAUUGUCCUUCUAAAAAGACUUAUAAACAAAAGGCUUUGCAAGCAAAAACUUGGGAUGACUCUUCUUCUAGUGAAUCAUCUUCAAGUGACGAAGAAAAGAGUGAUCAUGUUGCUUUAUUUACUAACACUUCUUUACCUUUUAUCUAAUGUUGUUUGUUUAUCCUCUAUUGCUACUAAUUCCAAUAUUUCUCUUUCUUCGCAUGACUCUUCGAGCGACAAUGGCGAAAGCGAGGAGGAAUCAAACGACGACGACAUAGCGGAAGCGUACAAUCAACUUCUUAUUGAGUCGAAGAAAAUGGCCAAACAUAAUAAGAAGUUGAGGCGUCGUCUUUUGGGCAUUGAGAAGGAAAACAACAACUUAAAGACUUUGAAUAAAGCUCUCGAGGAGGAAAGGGAAGCAAAUUUGAAAAAUAAAUCUAUCCUCCAAGAGAAGCUAGAUGAAGCGGAAUCAACUAUCAAAUCUUCUAAAGAUAAGAUUGAAUUUUUGGAGCACCAAUUUCAGAAAAUUCAUGCAUCCAAUCAAGUCUUAACUAGUCAAGUUUGCCAACUCAAAUCCGAUCUUCAAAAAUUUUCUUCCGGAUCAAAGAAACUAGAUCAUAUGCUCGGUUUGGGUCAAACGAACAAGUUGGGCCUCGGCUAUGAAAGAACAUAUAUUGAGAAGGAUCAAAUGGCGACAUCUAAAGUCUCAACAACAUUAAAGGUCAAAGUGUGUCAUAGGUGUGGAAUUAAAGGUCACAUCGAAAGGAAUUGCCCGGUGAAAGAUAAGAAGAAUUAUUUGGCAACUCCUAAAGCUCAAUCGGCACCAUCUAUGACUCGACAUCCCCCAAGGAAUCAAAAGAAAGAUCAAUUGAAUCAAGCAUCGCAAGCAAACCGGAUUUCUAAGCCGCAACACCAAGGUCAACCUAAACCGCAAGCUAUGAGGGUUCUUAAGCCUCAAGCGACGAAACAACCAACGGUUGAUCAAAAAUCAAAGCAAACGGCACCUAACGUCGACAAGACAAGACAUCGCAAAAUCCGAUAAGUUUGGAUUCAGAAAGGUGAUAUCUUUCCUUGUGCUACGUCUUAGUUCGUUUUUGAUUUUUUACGUAAAUGCUUUAAUUGGUGCUUGUUGCAAAUUUUUAUUCAUUGCAUUACAUAUUUAGACGAUUUUUGGUGCUUGAAUUUUAUUUGUUUUUUAGGAAAGGUGUUUGGGAAUUUAAAAUUUUUCUUUGAGGAAAGAGACGAUUGAAAAUCCUUAUUUUGAGGAGAUUAGAAUUUUUCAAAGUGUUUUAACCGGAAUUCAUCUUGAAUUAAAUUCAUAUUAAUUAUCAGUUUUACUCCACUUUUUAUUAUUUUGACGAUAAUUUAAUAUAUGAUUUCUUAAUACAUAUAUUCAACAAAAUUUUGAAAUCAAUUUUGAUCUUUUGGUGAUUAAUUCAUCUUGGUUAUGUGUGUUGAUAUGAUGGAUGGAUAUUCACUAAUCGACUAAAAUUUUGUCAAAAUUACUUUCAAUUGUGAGAUUGUCUAAUUUAGGGGGAGUUUGAAUUAUUUAAAAAAAAAAAAAAACUUCUAUAUUUAAAAGAUCUGGAAAGAGGUACAUCCAAAAUGAGUGUGAAAACUACCACCACAUGUAGGAAAGAGCUACCACUCCGGUCGUCCGGCAAGUGUGUGAAGCUACCACAUGAAGAUUAAAUUGAAUAACCGAAAAGGUUGAAAAAAAUUGAAUAUUUUAGAAUUUUCGGAGUUAUAAGGUGUUAGUUUGAAAAAGAUGCUCAAAGAGCCACCCCCCGUAUCAUAUUAGUUAAAUCUCUAUUUUGAACGGAUUGCGACAAAUUGGUGUCAAUUUUUUCGAAUUUCUAAAAAUUAUUUUUCGUGAACCGUUACAUCUUGAUGAUUUUGAAAAUAGAAGUCAUUUUUGAUAAUGAAAUUUUGGUGUUUCGAUAUAUUUUAAAAUUUUGUAAUAUUUUAUCUUCAUUAUAAUAAUUUUUUUGGAGUAAAAUUCUUAAUUUAUAUAAAAUUAAUUUAUGUUAGAUGUAUUUUUAAAGCAAAAUUUUUGAAAUUUGGGGCUGUGUACUGUAGCAGCGGCUUAUAUAACCGGUUAUAGGAUUUUAUUUCUUCCACAAUUCAAAACCAAAUCUCUCUCUUUGUUUCUACAACUCCAUGGGAUCCUCCUCCUCCAGAUCCAUGAAGUUUUCCCCUAAAUCUGUAAGUCUUUUGUUGGGAUUUCAUGAUUUCAUCUCGUUUUUUGCAUUUUUUCGAAAAAAUUCCGAGUUCAUGUUAGAUCUCUAUUUUUAAUCGCUUUUUAUGCAAUUUUUUGCUAUAGAUUAGUGUUUAUCGAUAUUAUCUUGCUUCUAAGUCACUUCAAUCAUGUCAAAACGUUUAUUUUUCGCUGAUUUGUGAUCUAGAUUUCGAUAUGCUUGGAAUUUCGGGAUUUGUGUUGAAGUAUCAAUUUUUGAUGAAAUUUUUUGCAUGAAUUAGUUUGAAAUAGCGUUAGUAUGCAUUCUAAGAAUAUUAGAAAUUUUUUCGCUAUUUUUACAAAUUUUUCGAAAAAUUGUGUUCAUAUAUGCUCUUAUUGUGUAGGAAAAUGGUGUUUUUUCUUGUGUUGACAUUGCUGGUGCUUAUGGCCGCUGGGAGCGGUCGUGGACGUGGUAGGGGUCAUCGAAGGGCCUCUAAGAGGAUACGUACUACUGCUAAGGCAUCUGGUUCUGAUCCAGAUUAUCAGGUUAGUUCUCCCGAGGAAGCAGAAGAACCUGUUGCUCAUCCUGACAAAGGAAAGGGUAUAGCUGGAGAGUCCUCACGAGGAGGUUCUCGUGCUCGUGAGGGUCGUCCAAAACAGGCCGCGGAUGUUCCCCCAGAGCGGCAGAGGAUGUUCAUGAGCAAGUCAUGUAUUGCAGAGCGUUAUGUCAACUUCAAUGAACUUAUACAUGAUGUUCCUGACUUUGGGCGGCUACUUCAGCGGGUUCCUAUUGAGCCAGUUGGUCGGGUUCCUGCUCGCGCUCCAUUUUGUAUGGAACUUAUUCGUGAGUUCUAUAUGAACGGGAAGGUACUCGCAGAGGAUGAGGAGACCGGGACUUUUCUAUUU
Molecule: long non-coding RNA, 32198 nt
Filed under: Ananas comosus (pineapple)
Lineage: Eukaryota; Viridiplantae; Streptophyta; Magnoliopsida; Poales; Bromeliaceae
Description: long non-coding RNA (ACOM_LNC013451)
Source: RNAcentral